This 542-nucleotide long non-coding RNA is filed under the name Olea europaea (common olive). RNAcentral describes it as "long non-coding RNA (OEUR_LNC011361)". The record is from RNAcentral. Lineage: Eukaryota; Viridiplantae; Streptophyta; Magnoliopsida; Lamiales; Oleaceae.
GAUCUAUAGUAUUUUCCGAACACAGAGACUCAACCACGCUUGAAUCAAAAAAUUUCCAAAGCUUUGAUACCACUAUCGGUCCUAAAUAAUAUGUUUGUGCCUUUAACUCGUAAAUCAAAUGCAGUUAAAAUGAGAAAAUAAUAACACAACACAAGAUUUUUCGACCCAAAAGCCCCUAGGUUCGACGAUUGCUUCCAACGCCUAAUCCCCGUUGAGCAUCCAUUAGGAUUAAGCUCGAAUUCACUAUAAAUCGCCACAAAAAUAGGUAAAAGUUUCGUUACAGAACACUUAGUUCUAACUCUCUCAAAAAUACAAGAUCUUCUCACAAUAACCCAGAACUCACACAAGAGUUCAUCACAAGAAUAUUUUCUCUCAUGAAAUCACAAAGAAAUCGUAGAAGUAUAAGAGUUUUAGAGAAGAUGAAAAACAAAAUGAGAGAGAAGUUGCUGGAAUGAUAUUCACCUGUGACAACCCUGGAUAUUUUUGCUUUUAUGAGAGAGAGAGUCUUGCAUUUGAUCCAACGGUCCAUGCCUUGCCACUUG